AGGAGAUGCGCGUCGGAUCUGUUGCCGCCGGUCCGCCCAGCUGACCCGUCGCCAAACCACGUCGCCAUCCGUGAAUUUGCCUCUGUCGCCGCUGCCAGAGGUUGCCGUCGGAGCCGCCGCUCCACUUCUAUCAUUCUUCUUCUUACAGUGAGUUGCCCGCACCUUGAAGCUCUUUCUGUAAUCAUUCUAGCUAUCUGUGGUUAAGGAUUCUGAUGUAUAGAUGUUGUAGGGUUAAUUUUAUGGGUUUGCAUGUCAAAAAUUAAGGUUGUUGCUUAGCAAAUGAAGUUCCUGGCCGCUGUCGGAGCUGCUGCCGGUUAAGUUUGGGGUGGCUGGCGCGUCGUUCUUUUAUUCCAGAAUUAAUAACCGGGGUUGCAUGUUGGGACUUAAAGAUGUAUAUGGUGUGGCGAAAGUGUGCGGGCUAUGAAUUAAAGCUGCUGUUGACUUCGGGUCGAGAGGAAAGGAAUUUCUUGAGUCAUUUGGACUGUGGUUUGAACUUGUCGAGGUAGGGGUCUUUUCAAAGAACUUAAUUUUAUGAUUUGGAGUUGUUAUAAAUGGAUAUUAACGUGAUAAAUGUACUUUUGGUGAUUGUAUAAGCCUUAUGUAUUGCUGGGCUGUUUUGUGAUGAACGUAUUUGUGGUUGGAUUGGAUUGUUGUUUGAUUUGGUUAUAUGGUUGGUUGCUGAAAUAUUUCAUUACAA
Molecule: non-coding RNA, 697 nt
Organism: Arachis ipaensis
Lineage: Eukaryota; Viridiplantae; Streptophyta; Magnoliopsida; Fabales; Fabaceae
Source: RefSeq, a predicted model, not a curated record